CCUACGGGAGGCUGCAGUGGGGAAUAUUGGACAAUGGGGGGAACCCUGAUCCAGCCAUGCCGCGUGUAUGAAGAAGGCCCUCGGGUUGUAAAGCACUUUCAGUGAGGAAGAACGCCUGGUGGUUAAUACCCAUCAGGAAAGACAUCACUCACAGAAGAAGCACCGGCUAACUCCGUGCCAGCAGCCGCGGUAAUACGGAGGGUGCGAGCGUUAAUCGGAAUUACUGGGCGUAAAGCGCGCGUAGGUGGCUUGAUAAGCCGGUUGUGAAAGCCCCGGGCUCAACCUGGGAACGGCAUCCGGAACUGUCAAGCUAGAGUGCAGGAGAGGAAGGUAGAAUUCCCGGUGUAGCGGUGAAAUGCGUAGAGAUCGGGAGGAAUACCAGUGGCGAAGGCGGCCUUCUGGACUGACACUGACACUGAGGUGCGAAAGCGUGGGUAGCAAACAGGAUUAGAUACCCCGGUAGUC
This 465-nucleotide ribosomal RNA is filed under the name Vreelandella stevensii. RNAcentral describes it as "partial 16S ribosomal RNA". It matches the Rfam family "Bacterial small subunit ribosomal RNA", at positions 338 to 795 of the family's 1533-position model. The record is from RNAcentral. Lineage: Bacteria; Pseudomonadati; Pseudomonadota; Gammaproteobacteria; Oceanospirillales; Halomonadaceae.